AUUGAACGCUGGCGGCAUGCUUUACACAUGCAAGUCGAACGGUAACAGGCCGCAAGGUGCUGACGAGUGGCGAACGGGUGAGUAAUGCAUCGGAACGUGCCCAGUCGUGGGGGAUAACUACUCGAAAGAGUAGCUAAUACCGCAUACGAUCUAUGGAUGAAAGCGGGGGACCGUAAGGUCUCGCGCGAUUGGAGCGGCCGAUGUCAGAUUAGGUAGUUGGUGGGGUAAAGGCUCACCAAGCCAACGAUCUGUAGCUGGUCUGAGAGGACGACCAGCCACGCUGGGACUGAGACACGGCCCAGACUCCUACGGGAGGCAGCAGUGGGGAAUUUUGGACAAUGGGCGCAAGCCUGAUCCAGCAAUGCCGCGUGCAGGAAGAAGGCCUUCGGGUUGUAAACUGCUUUUGUACGGAACGAAACGGCUCUGGUUAAUACCCGGGGCUAAUGACGGUACCGUAAGAAUAAGCACCGGCUAACUACGUG
This 482-nucleotide ribosomal RNA is filed under the name uncultured bacterium. Its description in RNAcentral is "partial 16S ribosomal RNA". It matches the Rfam family "Bacterial small subunit ribosomal RNA", at positions 30 to 507 of the family's 1533-position model. The record is from RNAcentral.